Molecule: long non-coding RNA, 490 nt
Organism: Ornithorhynchus anatinus (platypus)
Lineage: Eukaryota; Metazoa; Chordata; Mammalia; Monotremata; Ornithorhynchidae
Exons: 2
Source: RefSeq, a predicted model, not a curated record
CCCUCUGGCUUAAACUCCGCUCAAGGGAGGGAGAUUCGUCUCCUCGCCCUGCCUGGCCCCAUGGCUCUAAAAUGGUGGAUAGGGCCACGAGGAGGAGGCCAACAGACCGUUUGGAGGUGGGACUAAGGGCAAGGAACGGAGACCACUGGACAACAAUGGAAGGAAUCCACGCACCCAGAAGAACAAGAGAGAAAGUGGGGAAGCCUCACUGUCGAGAAGCCCAAGAUGGUACGGCUUGUACUUUUAGCUCCGUGCCACCCACUUUCAGGGGUGAGUCAGGCACUUCAGCAGAACAGCUUUGGCCAUAGCACCUUAGACACCAGCUCCAUGACGCUCAAGACGCCUCACCACCACUUCUGCUGGCUCCACUUUCCCCUCUCUCAAUCUCAUUUGACUGAUGCUACUGUUGUUUGGUUUAGAUUUUCUGAACCACAGUAUCUCUCUGCUUCUUUCCCCUCUCCCACUACAAAAAAGCAAACUGGAUAAUGUG